GACGAACGCUGGCGGCGUGCUUAACACAUGCAAGUCGAACGGAAAGGCCCUGCUUUUGUGGGGUGCUCGAGUGGCGAACGGGUGAGUAACACGGGAGUAACCUGCCCUUGACUUUGGGAUAACUUCAGGAAACUGGGGCUAAUACCGGAUAGGAGCUCCUGCUGCAUGGUGGGGGUUGGAAAGUUUCGGCGGUUGGGGAUGGACUCGCGGCUUAUCAGCUUGUUGGUGGGGUAGUGGCUUACCAAGGCAUUGACGGGUAGCCGGCCUGAGAGGGUGACCGGCCACAUUGGGACUGAGGUACGGCCCAGACUCCUACGGGAGGCAGCAGUGGGGAAUAUUGCACAAUGGGCGGAAGCCUGAUGCAGCAGCGCCGCGUGCGGGAUGACGGCCUUCGGGUUGUAAACCGCUUUCGCCUGUGACGAAGCGUGAGUGACGGUAAUGGGUAAAGAAGCACCGGCUAACUACGUG
This 468-nucleotide ribosomal RNA is filed under the name uncultured bacterium. RNAcentral describes it as "partial 16S ribosomal RNA". It matches the Rfam family "Bacterial small subunit ribosomal RNA", at positions 28 to 507 of the family's 1533-position model. The record is from RNAcentral.